GAUGAACGCUGACAGAAUGCUUAACACAUGCAAGUCUACUUGAACUUCGGUUUGGGUGGCGGACGGGUGAGUAACGCGUAAAGAACUUGCCUCACAGUUAGGGACAACAUUUGGAAACGAAUGCUAAUACCUGAUAUUAUGAUUUUAGGGCAUCCUAAGAUUAUGAAAGCUAUAUGUGCUGUGAGAGAGCUUUGCGUCCCAUUAGCUAGUUGGAGAGGUAACGGCUCACCAAGGCGAUGAUGGGUAGCCGGCCUGAGAGGGUGAACGGCCACAAGGGGACUGAGACACGGCCCUUACUCCUACGGGAGGCAGCAGUGGGGAAUAUUGGACAAUGGACCAAAAGUCUGAUCCAGCAAUUCUGUGUGCACGAUG
Molecule: ribosomal RNA, 372 nt
Filed under: uncultured bacterium
Lineage: Bacteria
Description: bacterial SSU rRNA
Rfam family: Bacterial small subunit ribosomal RNA
Source: RNAcentral